RNAcentral lists this ribosomal RNA (252 nucleotides) under uncultured bacterium. Its description in RNAcentral is "partial 16S ribosomal RNA". It matches the Rfam family "Bacterial small subunit ribosomal RNA", at positions 524 to 776 of the family's 1533-position model. The record is from RNAcentral.
UACGGAGGAUGCGAGCGUUAUCCGGAUUUAUUGGGUUUAAAGGGUGCGCAGGCGGCACGGCAAGCCGGCGGUCAAAUCGCGGGGCUCAACCCCGCCCAGCCGUCGGAACUGCCGGGCUAGAGUGGGCGAGAAGUGCGCGGAAUGCGUGGUGUAGCGGUGAAAUGCAUAGAUAUCACGCAGAACUCCGAUUGCGAAGGCAGCGCACCGGCGCCCUACUGACGCUCAGGCACAAAAGCGUGGGUAUCGAACAGG